RNAcentral lists this ribosomal RNA (2665 nucleotides) under Proteromonas lacertae. RNAcentral's name for it is "eukaryotic LSU rRNA". The stretch from base 317 to 2665 matches the Rfam family "Eukaryotic large subunit ribosomal RNA", at positions 1 to 2223 of the family's 3401-position model. Lineage: Eukaryota; Bigyra; Opalinata; Proteromonadidae. The record is from RNAcentral.
ACUUUUAACAAUGGAUAUCUUGGCUCUUGUAUCGAUGAAGAACGCAGUGAAACGCGAUAUGUAAUGCGAAUUGCAGAACUCUGUGAGUCAUCAAAUCUUUGAACGCAUAUUGCACUUCUCAAUUCAAUUGAGAAGUAUGCUUGUAUGAGUGAUGUUUAAUAACAAUUAUCUAAUUAUUUUUAGGUAGUUUAUAUGAAUGUUAUAUUUUUAAAUAUAUCAUUUUAAAUCUAUUUUUUAUUUUAACAAAAUAAAAAUAUCGAAUGGAUAAUAUCUAUUCUUUUUAUUUUAUAUAAAAAAAAAUAUAUUAUCAUAAAUACAUCCUCAUAUCAAGUAAAGGACCCGCUGAACUUAAGCAUAUUAAUAAGCGGAGGAAAAUAAACUAACAAGGAUUCCCCUAGUAAAGGCGAUUGAAGAGGGAAUAAGUCCAAGCCAAAAUCGUUGUCAUUAUAUGGCAACGAGUUGUGGUGUAUAAAUAAGAUUGAAAUUCAUAUACCUACUAUAAAAAAACUUAGUUUGGAAUGCUAGGUCAUAGAAGGUGAAAACCCUGUAAUAUAAAUAGUAGUUGUAUAGUACGAAUGAAAAUCAAAGAGUCGAGUUGUUUGUGAUUGCAACUCAAAUCCGGUGGUAAAUUCCAUCGAAGACUAAAUAAAUGCAAGAGACCGAUAGCGAACAAGUACUGUGAAGGAAAGAUGAAAAAUACUUUGAAAAGAGAGUUAAAUAGAAUUUGAAAUUGUUAAGAGGUUAACUGAAUGGUAUUCAGUGUAUGAUGGUUAUUUAUAUCUAAGCUUCCCAUUAUGGAGAGUUUUUUGAUAUAAGUAACUAUAGUCAAUAUUAGUUACAAAAUUCUAAAACAUAGGAAUGGUGUAUGUUGAUUUAAUCUUUCGGGAUUAAGUUGAAUCACUGUUUGAAAUUAGGAUAUAGUGACUAAGGUUUGUAUUGUAUUAGGAUCUAUGCAGGUUGUAUUGUUGUGUCAUGCUGUGUAUUCUCCUAGAGUUGCCAUGGUAUGUGGCAUGAUCUUGCAGCUUGUAAGUUUUAAUACGAAGAUAUUGACAAAAUGAAACCAUUUAAACCCGUCUUGAAACAACGGACCAAGGAGUCUAACAUAUAAGCGAGUAUUAUAGUGAUAAAAACUAUAAUGGCGAAAUGAAAGUAAUGGAGAUGAAUUCUGGUUUAAAAUCGGAAAGCAGUCUCAGCCGAUAUAAUUUAUGAAUUAUAUUUGAGUUUGAGCUUAUCUGGUUGGGACCCCGAAAGGAUGGUGAACUAUACUCGAAUAGAAUGAAGUCAGAAGAAAUUCUGAUGGGAAGUUCGUAGCGAUUGUGACGUGCAAAUCCCAUCGUCAAAUUUGAGCAUAGGGCGAAAGACUAAUCGAACCAUCGUAGUAGCUGGUUCCCUCCGAAAUUUCCCUCAGGAUAGCAACAAUUUAAUUAGGAAUAUUUGGUAAAGCGAAUGAUUAGAGAAUUUGGAUCGGUAAAUCGAUUUGAUCUAUUCUCAAACUUUAAAUGAGUAUGAUAUGGUGUAUAAAUUAAUUUUAUAUACUAUUCGUCUAAUAUAAAUUGUUAGUGGGCCAUAUUGGGUAAGCUGAUAUGCGCAUGCGGGAUCAUCCGAACGAGAAGUUAAGGGUGCCAAAAUAAUCGCUAAUUUAGAUUUCACAAAAGGUGUUAUUUCAUUUAGACAGCAGGACGAUGGCCAUGGAAGUUGGAAUUCGCUAAGGAUGUGUAACAACUCACCUGCCGAAUGAAAUAGCCCUGAAAAUGGAUAGCGCUAAAGCGAUUGAAUAAACCGAUACUUUUCCAAUAAAUCAAAAAGACUGAUUUAUUGAGUAGGAGGGCGUAAUGUAAAUUUAGAAGUAUAAAUGUGAAUUUAUAUGAAAUUUACAUUAGUGCAGAUCUUGGUGGUAGUAGCAAAUAUUCAAAUGAGAUCUUUGAAGACUGAAGUGGAGAAAGGUUCCAUAAAUAAAUAUUGAUUAGAUAUGGGUAAGUCGAUCCUAAAAGGUAACCGAAAAGGUGUUAAAUAGAGUAUAUUUAAAUCUAAAAGUGAAUAUACUAUAUCUUAACCUUGAAAGGGAAUUAGGUUAAUAUUCCUAAACCUAAGAUUGAUAAUGUAUGGUGACAUAAAUAUCUUUAGAGACUUGCAACAUAUAUUCUAAAAAGAGUUCUCUUUUCUUUUUAACUAUGCAAUUUUUAUACUCUAGAAUUAUAUAAAAUAGAGAAAGAGAUAAAGGCAUAGGAAUAAUAUAUUCAUUUAUAAUGAAUAUAUAUAGAAUAUAUAUGUUGUACCUUAAAAAUCUAAAGAUGAUAAUUAUUUAAAUCUUAGUUCGUACUAAUAACCGCAUCAGGUCUCCAAGGUGAGUAGCCUCUAGUUAAUAGAAGAAAGUAAGUAAGGGAAGUCGGCAAAAUAGAUCUGUAACUUUGGGAAAAAGAUUGGCUCUGAAGGCAUGGUAGUUUCCUGGGCUAGUAGACGCUAUUGCGAUCUGCAAUCACACUUGGCAACGGGUGGGUUAAUGUGAUAGUAGUUGAUGCUAGUCAUUUGGGGCUGCAAUAAAAUGCUAAUUCAGAACUGGUACGGACAAGAGGAAUCCGACUGUUUAAUUAAAACAAAGCAUUGUGAUGGUUUUAGAUAAUGUUGACACAAUGUGAUUUCUGCCCAGUGCUCUGAAUGUCAAAGU